RNAcentral lists this non-coding RNA (28 nucleotides) under Homo sapiens (human). Lineage: Eukaryota; Metazoa; Chordata; Mammalia; Primates; Hominidae. The record is from RNAcentral.
UAUGUUUAGGAGGAGGUGGUAAUGCUGG